RNAcentral lists this ribosomal RNA (497 nucleotides) under uncultured bacterium. RNAcentral's name for it is "partial 16S ribosomal RNA". It matches the Rfam family "Bacterial small subunit ribosomal RNA", at positions 28 to 507 of the family's 1533-position model. The record is from RNAcentral.
GAUGAACGCUGGCGGCGUGCCUAAUACAUGCAAGUCGAGCGAACAGACGAGGAGCUUGCUCCUCUGACGUUAGCGGCGGACGGGUGAGUAACACGUGGAUAACCUACCUAUAAGACUGGGAUAACUUCGGGAAACCGGAGCUAAUACCGGAUAACAUGUUGAACCGCAUGGUUCAACAGUGAGAGACGGUCUUGCUGUCACUUAUAGAUGGAUCCGCGCCGCAUUAGCUAGUUGGUAAGGUAACGGCUUACCAAGGCAACGAUGCGUAGCCGACCUGAGAGGGUGAUCGGCCACACUGGAACUGAGACACGGUCCAGACUCCUACGGGAGGCAGCAGUAGGGAAUCUUCCGCAAAGGGCGAAAGCCUGACGGAGCAACGCCGCGUGAGUGAAGAAGGUCUUCGGAUCGUAAAACUCUGUUAUUAGGGAAGAACAAAUGUGUAAGUAACUAUGCACGUCUUGACGGUACCUAAUCAGAAAGCCACGGCUAACUACGUG